Molecule: ribosomal RNA, 231 nt
Filed under: uncultured bacterium
Lineage: Bacteria
Description: partial 16S ribosomal RNA
Rfam family: Bacterial small subunit ribosomal RNA
Source: RNAcentral
CGGGUGAGUAACGCGUGGGUAACCUGCCUCAUACAGGGGGAUAACAGUUAGAAAUGACUGCUAAUACCGCAUAAGACCACAGCACCGCAUGGUGCAGGGGUAAAAACUCCGGUGGUAUGAGAUGGACCCGCGUCUGAUUAGCUGGUUGGUGAGGUAACGGCUCACCAAGGCGACGAUCAGUAGCCGGCUUGAGAGAGUGAACGGCCACAUUGGGACUGAGACACGGCCCAA